CUCUCGCCUCUGACACGACACGGUCGUUAUGCGACUUGCUUCCCUCCGAACGCUUUUACAUCAGAAUUUGGACGGGGAGGUAUACGACGAGACGAGGAGAUAGUUGCUGUGCUUUGAAUUCGGUUAUUGUCUGUUUGCAAGUGAUUAGCAUAAUCAUAGGUGAAAUCCAUGAUACUGUUGCAGUCGCAGUCCAGGUUUCUCCUUCAGACCUUGUUGAAUCGGCUUCACGACCUUGAUAAAGGAGUUGAGCUUGAUUACCACUGGGUUGAAUUUGAUGAUGUACGUUACCACAUUCAGGUGUCUAUGAAGAAUCCACACCUCCUGUUGCUAUCAGUAUCAUUACCCGCCCCACCUCCAGAAACUAUCUUGUUUGGUGGACUCCCCUUUGGUGCCAUCGAAGCUAUAAAAUCUGCAUAUGGCACAGCUGUACAAAUUCUUGACCCUCCAAGGGAUGGCUAUAAUCUCACCUUGAAACUAAAUUUCUCAAAACUUCCUCCAGAUGAAGAGUACAAGAAUGCCUCCUGGCGAAGAUUGCAUCUGUUAGAGAAGUGGUGCUAGGUGCCCUUCUAAGAGUCAUCUGAAAUAUCUUGCUUCAAGAACCCGUUGCUCUGAUAUAGAUCGGCUUGUUGCACUCGUGCAUCGACCAAAUGAGUCUUUCUUUCUCGUCCCACAGGCAGAUAAGGUCACCGUGGUCUUUCCUAUGAGAUUUAAGGAUUUCAUAGAUACCGUUCUUGCAACUUCCUUCUUGCAGUGCUCUGAGGGAUUUAUGCACACCCGAAUGCGGCGUCGCGUUGAGUCUCUGAUCCAGGCAUUGGACCGAGCAAGACCAGAUUCAGAGAGGUCAAAGAAAACAGUGAAUAGCAGAUCCUUCAAACGGCUGAGCCUCAAGGAUUCCCGUAUGAAUUCAAAUUCUUAAGGGCAUAGCCUGGCGUGUGAACUUCCAGGGUUGUUUAUUUGAUAGAUCUGUAGCCUAUCUUGAACCAAAGAGUGAAUUUGUUUUGUAUGGGCAAAACAGUCAUUUUAAUUCUUGAGAUUGAGAUAGGUCAUUAGGUUUAUUGUUAUUUAUAUUGUUUUUCAAAAGUAUGUAUACCAAUAUUAUUACUAAAAUAAUAUCUAAGAAUUUAAUUAGUAUA
Carica papaya (papaya) is the source of this 1133-nucleotide non-coding RNA. The record is from RefSeq and is a predicted model, not a curated record. Lineage: Eukaryota; Viridiplantae; Streptophyta; Magnoliopsida; Brassicales; Caricaceae.